This is an RNA transcript of Eucalyptus grandis, 3050 nucleotides long. It is a transcript of the gene named disease resistance protein RPV1-like, with no coding region annotated. The transcript has 4 exons. The record is from RefSeq and is a predicted model, not a curated record. Lineage: Eukaryota; Viridiplantae; Streptophyta; Magnoliopsida; Myrtales; Myrtaceae.
UUGCUCUCCCAAAUCCGAGUCGACUCUGGUCUAUAAGUGUGAGGAUGGUCCAAUCCAAAGUACCUGCGCGUCUAUGACCCCCAGAAAAAGAAAAGAAAAGAGUUCCUGAGUUUCAGAGGUCCAUUAUACGUUUUUGUUGAGAUCUGCUACACAAACAAUGGACAUCAGUCACGUUAGCAGUCCUUCCUCAUCAAUGUCUCUACGGCCAGACUACCAUGUAUUCCUGAGUUUCAGAGGGCCAGACACACGCAGGAACUUUGCGGAUUUCCUGUACACCAGCUUGAAAGAUGUUGGGAUUCGCGUCUUUAAGGAUGAUAAAGAUCUGGAGGUAGGCAAAGCAAUAAACCCCCAGCUGAUCCAGGCGAUUGAGCAGUCCAAGAUAUCAAUGCCCAUCAUCUCCAAGAAGUACGCAUCCAGCAAGAGCUGCCUCAUGGAAUUGGACGAAAUGGUGAAGUGCAUGGAGAAUAAGAAUCAUAUCAUCAUCCCCAUCUUCUACUACGUCAAACCAUCGGAUGUACGCGACUGCGCAGGCCCUUUCCAGGAGGCCUCGAAUAAGCACAAGAAGCGCGGCAGAGAUGACAGUAUCCUUAAUCCCCGGAUGCCCGCUUUCUGUCAGAUCGGAGAGUUGACGGGAUACCAUCUCCAAAACAAAAAAAAUGAAAAGCCUCUUGGCGAGGUCAUAAAGCAAAUUGUCCAUGAAGUUGAGAAGAAGCUGAAGACGAGGGACCUAGUUGUGCCAAAACAAUUAGUUGGAGUCGAUCCUCGUGCGCAAGAUAUAAUGGCAAAGCUGAAGGUUGUCUACCGCAAUGGGCAAGCUGAAAUUGGGGAACCACGUGAAAUGGUUUUAGGAAUAUAUGGCAUCCCUGGGGUUGGUAAGACGGUUCUGGCCAAAUAUGUUUAUAAUCAACUUCAUCAUCUGUUCGAUGCCUGUAGCUUUCUCGAGAAUAUCCAAGAAGAAAGUAGAGAUCACGGCAUCUUGUCUGUGCAAAACAGACUAAUUUCCGACCUCCACAAGGGAAAUGCCCAAAGGUUCGAUCUUUAUGACCAUGCUCUGAAACAUAUUCAGGAAAGGUUUCGCCACAUGAAGGUCCUUCUUCUCCUUGACAAUGUGAAGGAUCAUGAACAGCUCCGUACAUUAGUCGGAGACCUUGGUUGGUUGCACCCGGAGAGCAGGGUCAUUCUGACAUCCCGAAGUUGUGAUGUCCUUCAAAAAGUUGACGGUGCAGAAAAUUACGUCCUUGGAUCGAUGAAAAAAGAUAAAGCUCUGACGUUAUUCUGUAAGCAUGCUUUCAAAUCGGAUUCUCCCCCCGAGGAUUUUGAGAGACUUGCAACAGAUAUCGUUGCUGCCACUGACAGGCUUCCUUUGGCGCUUGAGAAGAUAGGUGGGUUUCUGUUCGAAAAAGCAAAGAGGCGUGGAAGGAAAAACUGAUUCAGUUAAAAGACGCUCCUGACGAGAGGGUCCAAGAAGCCUUCCUCAAGAGCUAUACUACCCUAGAUGAGAAUGCCCGACAGAUAUUUCUUGAUAUAGCAUGUUUCUUCAACAGAAUGGACAAGAGAAUCCCCCAUUACAUGUGGAAACACUCUGGGUAUUCUCCUUGUAUGUCGAUUCUAUCUCUUCGUGCCAGGUCUUUGGUAGAAAUAGGAGAGGAUAAAAAACUAUGCAUGCAGAGAAUACUGAUGGCCUUUGGCAGGGAAAUUGUCAAGCGUGAAAACAAGAAUGAACCUUGCCAGCGCAGUAGGCUGUGGAACCACGAAGAGGCACUGGAUGUACUAAACAAAGGGAAGGGUACCAAGAAAGUUGAAGCCCUCGGGCUCAAGUUUGCUGACAGAUCUGAAAGGAAUAUCAUCAGUUUUCAAUGUGAUCAAUUUAAUGACUUGCAGAACUUAAGGUUCCUCGACCUGGAUCGAGCUGAUAUUCAAGCUGAUAUUAACGCUUGUAUUCUAGGAGAAUUUCGGAAUCAUUUUUUGAGAUUAAGGUGGCUUGGUUGGCAAGGGACACCUUUGAGGUUUGACAUUAAAUCGCUACAGCUGAAUUUGCAAAACUUGGUGAUUCUUGAUUUGUCGGGUAGUCAGGAGCUCCGAGUGCUCGAAGAGUGGAAUGGUUGGGAGUUGAUUUUGAAUGCACGUAAACUGAAAGUUUUGAAACUAACUGGUUGUACCCGUUUGAAUUCCACUCCAAAAUUUCCUGAUUCAUUGGGGCUAAAAAGACUCAUUCUGGAAGGUUGCUCUGGAUUAGCAGCUAUUGAUUCGUCAAUUCAUAAUCUGCACAAGUUAGUUUCUUUGAACAUGAAGGGAUGCAGUUUCCUCUGUAAAAUGCCAGAUUUGGGUAGCAUAAAAGGCUUGAAAGAGCUGGUGAUCGAUGAAACUUCCAUUUCUAAGAUUGAAUUCCAUAAAGAUUCCAUGAGGAAGCUCAAAUUUCUCAGUGCUCGCAAUUGUGAAAACCUGACUGAAAUAUCCGAUUUGAUCAAGUACUUAGAGUCUCUCAAAUAUCUUUCUCUCGACGGCUCUAAAAUCAAAACCCUACCGGAGUCCAUUGGAUCGCUUGCAAAAAUGAAGACACUGUCUCUAAAGAACUGCCGGAGGCUAACUACUCUUCCUGAUGGAAUAGGAAGGCUCAGCUCACUGCAAUUGCUGGAUUUAUCUGACACUGCGAUUAAGAAGUUACCAACGUCAGUCAAGGAUUUGAAAGCUACGAAAGUGUUGAGGGGUACUUUCAUACAGGAACAGGAUUUUCCCGAAACUACUCUGAAUUCAGAGAACCUGGUAGAGAUAAAUGUCUCGUACGCCAGGAAUUAGAUGGGGGGAUCCACUUCGACAUUCCAGGAUUGCCGUCUUUGGCAAUCACGAACCAAAGAUAGAUUUCUCCAAGUAUCUCCUCUCUUUCUCGUCUCCGGAAGUACACAUCUUCAGAUGCGACGAUCUUCAGAGCGUACCCAAGUUGCACUGUUUGGUUAAUGUUUUCUCGUGAUCUGGGUAAUUAGAUUCCAAACAAUAUUUUAAGAGAUUUUAUUUACUUCUCUUAAUAGCUUUCCGAUAAUUUUUUAUUAGUG